Carcharodon carcharias (great white shark) is the source of this 596-nucleotide long non-coding RNA. RefSeq lists it as uncharacterized. The transcript is spliced from 3 exons. The record is from RefSeq and is a predicted model, not a curated record. NCBI's taxonomy places the organism in Eukaryota, Metazoa, Chordata, Chondrichthyes, Lamniformes, Lamnidae.
GCAGAAGCUGUUUGUAAGUUGCUGGGCUGUGGCGCUGGAGCAGCAGCGCCACUUAACGCUCACUUUGGAGAAGGUUCCGGUCGUGUUAUCGGUCCGGUUGGCUGCCGACACCAGCGGGAUGUUGGAGUAAUCUGUUCAGAUCAUACAGAUCUCAGGCUGACAUCGGGGACCACCCGAUGUUCCGGCCGGCUGGAAACACGACACGGAUCUCAGUGGGGUACGCUUUGUGAUGUUUACUUUGGCUUGGAAGACGCCAGUGUGGUCUGUGAGCACCUUCGAUGUGGGGCAGUGUCUGAAAUAUUGGCAGGAGCUCACUUUGGGAAGGGAACCGGCCCAGUGUGGAAAGAGAACUACAGAUGCCGGGGCAACGAAUCCAGCUUUUGGGAUUGUCCAGUUUCAUCCUGGGAUGAAAUUAAAUGUUCGCAUGAAAAUGACGUCAGUGUUAUCUGCUCGGGCAAUAAUUGGUCGCUUCGACUGACUAACGGGGGAAGCCGAUGUGAUGGGCGAGUGGAAACAUACAGCAGCGGAAUCUGGGGGCGAGUGCAGGACUCCCUGUGGGACCUGAAUGAUUCCAAAGUGGUCUGCAGAGAGUUAGG